RNAcentral lists this transfer-messenger RNA (362 nucleotides) under Gemmatimonadota bacterium. RNAcentral describes it as "Gemmatimonadetes bacterium (marine metagenome) transfer-messenger RNA". It matches the Rfam family "transfer-messenger RNA". Rfam says of the family: Bacterial tmRNA, also known as 10Sa RNA or SsrA, is named for its dual tRNA and mRNA-like properties. Its role is to liberate the mRNA from a stalled ribosome. Lineage: Bacteria; Pseudomonadati; Gemmatimonadota. The record is from RNAcentral.
GGGGGCGACUCUGGUUUCGACGGGGGUAGAGAAGUUUAGAUUGCGUGCCGAGGUCCCCGAAGCCUCGUUAAAAAGCGGGAAACCUUUUAAACGCGAACGAUUACGAUUACGCGAUGGCCGCCUAGCCAAAACUAGGUAGCCCACCGGUGCCAGUUGCGCCUGCACGGCUGGCACUGGUGUCAUCUUAUGCAGGCUAGCCCGAUCUCAUGUCCGGGGGGUGAGGGCGAAACUCAACUGGACUGGCGCUGCGCGGCCCCUGUCAGUUGGCACCGCGUGGGGCGAGACUUGAAAACUGACUACGCACGUAGUAAUCUGGAUGGAACUACUUUCGGACGCGGGUUCGAAUCCCGCCGCCUCCACCA